This is a long non-coding RNA of Hemicordylus capensis (graceful crag lizard), 372 nucleotides long. RefSeq lists it as uncharacterized. NCBI's taxonomy places the organism in Eukaryota, Metazoa, Chordata, Lepidosauria, Squamata, Cordylidae. The transcript is spliced from 3 exons. The record is from RefSeq and is a predicted model, not a curated record.
GAAAAGUCACAUGGGGACAUGCCCUCUCCCCACUCUGUCCCUUGUUCCUUCCUCCUGACAGUCAGGAGGGAAAGGGGACAGGAUGGCAAGACAGGCACUAUGUCCUUAGCUCUCCAAAAAUCUGAUCAUAAACAGAGAUUGCUCUGAACAGCAACACUGGACUUACUCAGCCUUGGUCCUAUUUGAAACCUGCAGCAGGACCUAGCACUGCAGAUGGUCAACAUUCUGUGAUGAAUGAAAAAGAAGAAAAGCCAACAUCAACAGUGACCACAAUCAAGAUGAACAUAAGAUGAUAAUAAUUCAUUCGUUUCAUUAGAAAAAAUCAUCCAGUUAUUUUCUCCAUGUAAACCAAGCCCCCCACACAUGAUUUCU